Molecule: ribosomal RNA, 886 nt
Filed under: Acarospora bohlinii
Lineage: Eukaryota; Fungi; Ascomycota; Lecanoromycetes; Acarosporales; Acarosporaceae
Description: partial large subunit ribosomal RNA
Rfam family: Eukaryotic large subunit ribosomal RNA
Source: RNAcentral
CAAUAAGCGGAGGAAAAGAAACCAACAGGGAUUGCCUCAGUAACGGCGAGUGAAGCGGCAACAGCUCAAAUUUGAAAUCUGGCCCUUUCAGGGUCCGAGUUGUAAUUUGCAGAGGAUGCUUCGGGUACGACGCCGGUUCUAAGUUCCUUGGAACAGGACGUCACAGAGGGUGAGAAUCCCGUACGUGACCGGCCGCCACGCCCGUGUGAAGCUCCUUCGACGAGUCGAGUUGUUUGGGAAUGCAGCUCAAAAUGGGUGGUAAAUUUCAUCUAAAGCUAAAUAUUGGCCAGAGACCGAUAGCGCACAAGUAGAGUGAUCGAAAGAUGAAAAGCACUUUGGAAAGAGAGUCAAACAGUACGUGAAAUUGUUGAAAGGGAAGCGCUUGCAACCAGACUUGCCCGCGGGCGAUCAACCGGUAUUUUUACCGGUGCACUCGCCCGUGGUCAGGCCAGCAUCGGUUUGGGCGGCCGGACAAAGCCCCCUGGAAUGUAGCUCCUCUCGGGGAGUGUUAUAGCCAUGGGUGGAAUGCGGCCCGCCCGGACCGAGGACCGCGCUUCGGCUAGGAUGCUGGCGUAAUGGUUGUAAGCGACCCGUCUUGAAACACGGACCAAGGAGUCUAACAUCUAUGCGAGUGUUUGGGUGUCAAACCCACGCGCGUAAUGAAAGUGAACGGAGGUGGGAACCCCUAAGGGUGCACCAUCGACCGAUCCUGAUGUCUUCGGAUGGAUUUGAGUAAGAGCAUAGCUGUUGGGACCCGAAAGAUGGUGAACUAUGCCUGAAUAGGGUGAAGCCAGAGGAAACUCUGGUGGAGGCUCGCAGCGGUUCUGACGUGCAAAUCGAUCGUCAAAUUUGGGUAUAGGGGCGAAAGACUAAUCGAACCAUCUAG